This 254-nucleotide ribosomal RNA is filed under the name uncultured bacterium. RNAcentral's name for it is "partial 16S ribosomal RNA". It matches the Rfam family "Bacterial small subunit ribosomal RNA", at positions 524 to 776 of the family's 1533-position model. The record is from RNAcentral.
UACAGAGGGGGCGAGCGUUGUUCGGAUUUACUGGGCGUAAAGGGCGCGUAGGCGGUCAGCACAAGUCAGUUGUGAAAUCUCCGGGCUUAACUCGGAAAGGUCAACUGAUACUGUGCGACUAGAGUGCAGAAGGGGCAAUCGGAAUUCUUGGUGUAGCGGUGAAAUGCGUAGAUAUCAAGAGGAACACCUGAGGUGAAGACGGGUUGCUGGGCUGACACUGACGCUGAGGCGCGAAAGCCAGGGGAGCAAACGGG